GUAAGAAUGACCGUUCUAGCCCCUACGGUUAGGAAAUUAUGGUCAUUUGUUUGAGGGGAGUCGUCAUUAUGAGAAAUAGACUGCAAAAAUCCUGUGUCUCUCUGUGCUGCGUGCACCUGUUUUGGCGGGAAAAAGUGCACAGGCUCUCUGAUUGGUGGAUUCAAAUUCAGCAGCUCCAAGGCUGCUUGACUGAGCUAGAAACUUACCUCUCUCCCUGUGUGUGUGUGUGUGUGUGUGUGUGUGUGUGUGUGUGUGUGUGUGUGUGUGUGUGUGUGACAGAGAGAGAGAGAGAGGGAGAGAGAGAGAGAGAGAGAGAGAGAGAGAGAGGAAGCCUUUUUAUGGGAUGAUCUCAUUGUAAGAUUCAAAUUCAAUAUAUUUAGACUGGUUGACUGAAUUGGAUCUUGUGUGUGUCUCUCUCUGUGCAUGUGUGUUUCCAUAUGUGUCCAUAUUUGUGAUUGUGUGGCUGUUAUUUUUUUUUUGCCAAUUUUUUUCAUUUAACAAGUAUAUUUGAGGGACUGUUACAGGAAAAAUGUUUCUAUGUUUCUUUACCUUCUUUUAAAUGUGCAAGCAUGCCCUUUUGUCUAUGGUUAGAUUAGUUUAGAAUUAUCUUUUUAGACUUUCUCAGCAAAGACAUCUUGUUUCUGGGACAUAUUGUUUUAGAUUGUUUUAUCUCUCACAGCCUUCUCCCAGCUCUCUGCUGACGAGACUAGCGCCACAUAUGGAGUUGUUUAUUUUAUUUGUUUUGUAUUUUCUUAUCCUGUUCUCACUGUCUUUCCUAUAAAAAUUACCAAGCCACUGUGCAUGGUGUGAGUUGUCCUUAGCAGCUCACCCGUGUACACGUUUGAUAAAGAAAGUAACUUUGUCUCAUUGUGUCUUUAUUUCUCCUGGGUUUUUUACAGAGUUUUCCCCCAACAUUUCUUGGUCCUUCGGAGCCGGAGCGCCUCCAUCGUGUCCCAUCUCCGUGACCAGUCCACGUUGUUCGUCUGUCGACAGCCCACACACUAGGUGUGUGGUCAAAGACCAAGGGCGUUAAAUUCGAGUCUUGGCCAACGUUCUUAGAAAGCGACCCACGGUGGUGGGGCCCGAUCGAGGUGGACCAGACCCGGCGACACUGACCAGUGUCUUGCAGAUCACAGCCCGGUGACUGGGUUCUGAUCAAAGUGCUCCAAAGGAAAAACUGGAGCUUGCAAAAUAGCGGAACGACCAUCUUGCAUCCAUCAGAGCCAGUAAGUGAAGCCAUCUAAACACAGCU
This is a long non-coding RNA of Astatotilapia calliptera (eastern happy), 1252 nucleotides long. The record is from Ensembl. Lineage: Eukaryota; Metazoa; Chordata; Actinopteri; Cichliformes; Cichlidae.